This is a long non-coding RNA of Neofelis nebulosa (Clouded leopard), 1719 nucleotides long. RefSeq lists it as uncharacterized. Lineage: Eukaryota; Metazoa; Chordata; Mammalia; Carnivora; Felidae. The transcript has 3 exons. The record is from RefSeq and is a predicted model, not a curated record.
UGGGCCCGAGACAUGACUGACAGUGCUUCGGGCUCGUGCCCGCCUUCGCUUAUCAGAGUCACACAGCGUGGGCCACUGCGGCGGAAUGAGGCAGGAGCAAGUGUCCCAAACCCCAGAGACCGGCGAGGUCAGGUGGAUCCCAAGUGGCAUGUGAGAAAAGCGUCCGCCUGUGCGUCUACCCCCUGUACCGCAGAUCUGCUCUGCCCCGCCCCUCGGUCCUGCCCCCCUAGCAACAUCUGGGGCCCCAGCUUCUUCUGAAAACAGAAGGUUCUCAGCUGUGCUCCGGCGGGAGGCCGCGAUGGGUCACAGAGUCUCCUUCCGACCUCUGGGGAAACUGAAGGCAAAAAGGUUGGUGAAAAAAGGCUUAAGGAAAGCAGUGAUGGCUGGUCCCGAGGCCCCAGUGGGGUGACCCAACGCUUCGAAGCCCCACGACUCUGCCUCCGCGUCCCCUCGUCCUCAAGCAGCAGCUUGGCUGAUCUGAGUUCCUUACCGGGUGGGGCGAUCCGGACCACCAUGCCCUAAGGGAUCGGCGCCCUUAGUUUGCCAUGUCUUUAUUGAGUUGCUUUGUGGCUGCCACUGCUCAUUCACAGAUCCUUUUCAUCAGGCCAAGGGCCACCAAGAUCCCCCCAGAGGGGUCCUGCCUUCAAUGGCGGCAGCACCUAAUCCGGGUCCUGCUUCUGGGCGAUGGGGACGCAAUAAACCGGGGGAUCCCAUGGCCCUGCGCUCACUGUCAUACCUCUUUUACCCCAGCCAUAUGAUGGGCCACUUGAUGGGAGCCACUGGCAUGUGGGAAACUGUGUAGGUCACCUUUCCUCGCGGCUCUGUCCACCGGGAGAAUGUCCUUCCACCGCUGUCCCCUCAAGCCACGUGGAUUGGGACCGUCGCCCAGCACAGUCUGUUUUCGACAGACGACGAGGCUUCAUGUUGACCGAUCUAUGAACCAGGCCUGAGUUGGCUCCUGAGUGAUCACGGAGGAUCCCUGCCCCGUGAAGUGCGUCGAGAGGAAUCAGUGCAACAGUCUGGACCACCCGUUUGUGUAAUUUACUCGUCCUCCUGGACGUGAUUGGCCUCGAUCCUGAACGUUCUAUCUUCCUCAUCAGUAAACUACCCAACCUGAGGACUUGGCGCAUGUGAUAACUCGCGGCUCGUGAUGGGCGGGUCUGGUCCCCCAGUGACUCAGUGUCCCAUGCCAAUUCCGGGUGGUGUCCAGAGCAAGAGUUCCCCGCCAUGAGAUUGAUGGCCUUUCCCUGGAACCUUGAGGGUACAUCCUGCAACUUUUCAGUGAGUGCUUGCCACGCACUUCCGCAGCCUUGUCUGCUGUGGAGACGUCUAGCAGAGGUCCUUCUGGGUCAGAUGGGUCCAGCGGUGGGCGGUUCCAACCACAGCCUGGACGUGCUCCGGAGCCCUGUCUCGAUCUCAGAAAGCCAGCUUGCUUUAGUCAUGUGCAACUUACGAGAUCUAAGAGGGUAGUAGCUUUGAUUUUUAUUAAUGUUUUAAUUAAUUGUUUGAAUAAACAAGGCAUUCAAAUAAUUCCAAAAUUAAAAUGUAAAAAAGGCAUAUAGUCAACAACCUCUCCCCUCCCCCUGAUUUUCUUUCUAGCGGAGACCAACUGUGUUUACUUGCUUGUGAAUUACUCUAGAGAUAAAUACAUGUGUGUGUGCGUGCGUGUGUGUGUGUGUGUGUGUGUGUGUAUCUUCCAACCUCCCACCAUUAUCUAAA